Molecule: transfer RNA, 70 nt
Filed under: Casmara patrona
Lineage: Eukaryota; Metazoa; Arthropoda; Insecta; Lepidoptera; Oecophoridae
Description: tRNA-His
Source: RNAcentral
AUUUAAAUAAUUUAAUAUAAAAUAUUGAUUUGUGGUAUCAAAAAUAUGAUAAUUUUAAUCAUUUUAAAUU